AUUGAACGCUGGCGGCAGGCCUAACACAUGCAAGUCGAGCGGUAGAGAGGUGCUUGCAUCUCUUGAGAGCGGCGGACGGGUGAGUAAUGCCUAGGAAUCUGCCUAGUGGUGGGGGAUAACGUUCGGAAACGGACGCUAAUACCGCAUACGUCCUACGGGAGAAAGCGGGGGAUCUUCGGACCUCGCGCCAUUAGAUGAGCCUAGGUCGGAUUAGCUAGUUGGUGAGGUAAUGGCUCACCAAGGCGACGAUCCGUAACUGGUCUGAGAGGAUGAUCAGUCACACUGGAACUGAGACACGGUCCAGACUCCUACGGGAGGCAGCAGUGGGGGAAUAUUGGACAAUGGGCGAAAGCCUGAUCCAGCCAUGCCGCGUGUGUGAAGAAGGUCUUCGGAUUGUAAAGCACUUUAAGUUGGGAGGAAGGGUAGUAACCUAAUACGUUGCUACUUUGACGUUACCGACAGAAUAAGCACCGGCUAACUUCGUGCCAGCAGCC
Molecule: ribosomal RNA, 494 nt
Filed under: uncultured bacterium
Lineage: Bacteria
Description: bacterial SSU rRNA
Rfam family: Bacterial small subunit ribosomal RNA
Source: RNAcentral